Ananas comosus (pineapple) is the source of this 4095-nucleotide RNA transcript. It is a transcript of the gene named probable E3 ubiquitin ligase SUD1, with no coding region annotated. The transcript has 10 exons. The record is from RefSeq and is a predicted model, not a curated record. NCBI's taxonomy places the organism in Eukaryota, Viridiplantae, Streptophyta, Magnoliopsida, Poales, Bromeliaceae.
CUCUCUCUACCCUGCCCAAAUCAUUGUUGCUCCAUAAGCCAUUUCCCAUCGAGAGAGAGAGAGAGAGAGAGAGAGAGAGAGAGAGCGAUCGUAGGAGUCCAUGGAGGAGAUCGACGAUCCCACCCCCGCAGCGUCGGCGCCGGGCGAUUCCGCCGCGAAGGCGGCGGCGGCGGCGGCGUCGGCGUCGUCGGUGGCGUCGUCGUCAGCGGCGCCGCCUCCUGCAUCGGCGACGGGGAGGAGGUUGGAGGAGGAGGAGGAGGAGGACGACGACGACGAGGGGGACGUGUGCCGGAUCUGCCGCAACCCCGGCGACGCGGAGAACCCGCUCCGGUACCCCUGCGCGUGCAGCGGGAGCAUCAAGUUCGUGCACCAGGAGUGCCUCCUUCAGUGGCUCAGCCACAGCAACGCUCGCCAGUGCGAGGUGUGCAAGCAUGUGUUUUCUUUCUCCCCUGUCUAUGCGGAGGAUGCUCCUGCAAGACUGCCUUUCCAGGAAUUUGUGGUUGGAACAGCCAUGAAAGCUUGCCAUGUUUUACAGUUCUUCCUUCGGCUUGCCUUUGUUCUUUCUGUUUGGCUCCUGAUAAUACCAUUUAUUACAUUUUGGAUAUGGCGCUUGACAUUCGUGAGAACUCUUGGUGAAGCACAGAGGCUAUUCUUGAGUCACAUUUCUGUACCAGUGAUUCUUACUGACUGCUUACAUGGGUUUCUACUCUCUGCUAGCAUAGUUUUUAUAUUUCUUGGGGCUACCUCUUUAAGAGAUUAUUUUAGGCAUCUGCGUGAAGUUGGAGGAAAUGAUGGUGAGAGGGAUGAUGAAGGCCAAGAAAGGCAUGGAGCUCGGGCUGUUAGACGGCUAGCUGGCCCUGCAAAUCGGAUUCCUGCUGGUGAUGGAAAUGUCGAAGAUGGACAAGGAGCCCAGGGAAUUGCUGGUGCAGGUCAAAUGAUUAGAAGAAAUGCGGAAAAUGUUGCUGCUCGAUUGGAAAUGCAGGCUGCUCGGCUAGAAGCCCAGGUUGAACAAAUGUUUGAUGGCUUAGAUGAUGCUGAUGGUGCAGAAGAUGUACCAUUUGAUGAACUUGUUGGAAUGCAAGGGCCUGUGUUCCAUUUGGUUGAAAAUGCUAUAACUGUGCUGGCAAGCAAUGCAAUAUUCCUAGGUGUUGUGAUUUUUGUUCCUUUCUCAUUGGGUAGGAUAGUCCUCUACUAUCUAUCCUGGUUCUUUUCUUCGGCCUCUAGUUCGAUGCUGGCAAGUGUUAUGCCAAUUACAGAGUCGGCACUCUCUUUGGCUAACAUUGGUUUGAAGAAUGCCCUUUCUGCUGUGAAGAACUUCUCAUCUGAAAGUCACAAUGAGGGUUUUGUUGGACAUGUGAUGGAGGUUACUGCAGACACCUUGAAGAAAAACAUCACCGAACUUGAUGUAGUCUCAAACAGUGUCAAAGCUGUUUCAACGGAUGUAUUGAAAGAAACAACCGGCUCUUCACGCCUAUCUGAUGUUACCACACUUGCAGUUGGUUAUACGUUUAUAUUCUCCCUGGUUUUUCUUUAUCUUGGAAUAUUUGCUUUGCUUCGGUAUGUCAAGGGUGAGCGCUUGACCAUUGGAAGGCUGUAUGGUUUAGCUGCAAUAGUAGAGGCGAUUCCAUCUCUUUUCCGGCAGUUCUUGGCAGGAAUGAGACAUCUGCUUACUAUGGUUAAAGUUGCCUUCCUUUUGGUAAUCGAGCUUGGGGUCUUCCCAUUAAUGUGUGGGUGGUGGCUUGAUGUGUGCACUUUAAAGAUGCUGGGUUCAACAAUUGCUCAACGAGUUGAAUUCUUUUUGGUUGCCCCUUUAGUGAGCACUUCAAUUCACUGGCUUGUUGGGAUUGUUUACAUGCUCCAAAUAAGCAUUUUUGUGAGUCUUCUUCGAGGGGUAUUGCGUAAUGGAGUUCUUUACUUUCUGCGGGACCCGGCAGAUCCAAAUUACAAUCCAUUCCGAGAUCUAAUUGAUGACCCUGUGCACAAACAUGCUCGGCGUGUUUUGUUAUCUGUUGCUGUCUAUGGAAGCUUGAUUGUGAUGCUCGUCUUCUUGCCUGUUAAAGUAGCCAUGCGAUUGGCACCUUCCAUUUUCCCAUUGGACAUUAGUGUUUUUGACCCAUUUACGGAGAUACCUGCUGAUAUGCUUCUGUUCCAAAUAUGUAUUCCUUUUGCAAUUGACCACUUCAAGCCACGUGAAACAAUUAAGUCCCUUUUACGUUAUUGGUUUGCUGUGGUUGGUUGGGCCCUUGGCUUAAGUGAUUUCUUACUACCAAGACCUGAGGAGAAUGGCGGGCAUGAAAAUGGAAAUGGGGUGGUAAGGCUCGAUAGAAUCCAUGAGAGACGUGAAGGUGGGAUCCGGCAGCGUUUUGUACCGCAUGUUGCUGUAGAAGAUCACGACAGGAGAGGCAAUGCCAUUGAAAAUGCUGAUGUUGCUGAUGACUCUGAUUUAGAUGACCAAGCAGAUUCUGAGUAUGGAUUUGCACUUCGUAUUGUGCUGUUGUUGGUACUGGCAUGGAUGACACUUCUGCUAUUUAAUUCAGCUAUGAUUGUCAUUCCCAUUUCCCUUGGGCGUGCGCUUUUCAAUGCCAUCCCCCGCCUCCCAAUUAUGCAUGGUAUCAAGUGCAACGACCUCUUAGCAUUUAGUAUCGGAUGUUACGUCAUCUGGAGUGUUGCAGCUGGAGCAAGAUAUUCGUAUGAUUAUAUCAAAACUAAGAGAGUGUGGGUUCUCUUAUCGCAGAUCUCAAAAUGGUGUGCGAUUGUACUGAAGAGUUUUGCGCUUCUGUCAAUAUGGAUCUUCGUCAUUCCUGUGUUGAUCGGCCUUCUAUUUGAGUUGCUAAUUAUCGUGCCUAUGAGGGUGCCAAUCGACGAAAGCCCGGUCUUUCUCUUGUACCAAGAUUGGGCUCUUGGACUGAUAUUUCUCAAGAUAUGGACUCGACUGGUUAUGUUGGAUCAGAUGGCGCCUUUGGUGGACGAAAGCUGGCGAAGAAAGUUUGAGAGAGUGAGAGAGGACGGCUUCUCCCGGCUGAGAGGGCUAUGGGUGCUGCGCGAGAUCGUGAUACCAAUCAUCUCCAAACUACUGACCGCGCUAUGUGUUCCUUAUGUUUUUGCAAAGGGGAUCUUCCCCGUGUUCGGCUACCCACUCAUAGUAAAUUCUGCGGUCUACCGGUUUGCCUGGCUCGGCUGCCUCGUCUUGAGCGCCGUGUACUUCUGCGGGAGGAGGUUCCACACUUGGUUCACCAACCUUCACAACUCCAUAAGGGACGACCGCUAUCUGAUCGGCCGGAGAUUGCACAACUUUGGGGAAGAAUCUGUGCACCAGAGGACUGCUGGACCCGAGAGGAAUCCGCAGCCCCAGGAAACAGGCCUGCGAGAUCUGGGCCUGAUCCGGCUCGACCAGGAAGUGGGAGAUUUAGGGCUGAGGCUGAGGCGGGCUAAUCAGCGGCCGAACCAGCAAGCGAGGCAGGUUGUAAUAUAGUUGGAUGAUGAUCUUUGUCAUGCUGCUGCUGCUCUUGUUCGUGUUUUUGAUUACAUUUGUAUGAUAUGAUGUUAUAGAAGAGUAUUAAGGGAAGUGGAGAUAGCGGAGAUAAGUUGCAACUCCCCGAAUCUCUACUUGGGUCACAAACUUUAGGUGGUUCUGUGUAUAAUGCAUUAAAAUUGGCUUCAACAGGCUAGAUACUAACAGCAUGGGAGGGGCUCUCAGUUUCAGCUAAUUCAAACUUGGAUGGAUACCUACACUCCUACAGUACUGGAAUUCAGAAAAAUUUGCAGCACUGUACCCCUCUCAGAAUUUGAAAUAUGAGAUAAAUCCAGAAACCGUCGUCAUUGAAAGGAAAUGGUGCUUUAGUCCCACCUCUGCUGGAAGCAUUGAUGAGAGAUCCCGUAGACGUUUACUUUGUGACUCGAGUUCUGUCGACUCGUGAGCAUAUCAGGAUCCGAGUAUGAUCUGAUAUUAUCAGUUCCACUCUCACAGGUAGGAUUAAUUGUAUAUGGAUUUCUGCAGCAUUAGUGAAUUUGCAUAUUUACUUUUACAUGAAUAAACACUUUUUAGUAGUUUCAGCUUUGACACUUAAUAUAAUAUAAAUAUGUUUGUAAAAUUAA